GUUUACGGCCAUACCACCCUGAGCAAGCCCGAUCCCAUCUGAUCUCAGAAACUAAGCAGGGUCAGCCAUAGUUAGUACUUGGAUGGGAGACCACCUAGGAAGACCAGGUGCUGUAGGCA
Molecule: ribosomal RNA, 119 nt
Filed under: Pteropus alecto (black flying fox)
Lineage: Eukaryota; Metazoa; Chordata; Mammalia; Chiroptera; Pteropodidae
Source: RNAcentral